This is a non-coding RNA of Cucurbita maxima (winter squash), 77 nucleotides long. The record is from the annotation of a RefSeq genome assembly. NCBI's taxonomy places the organism in Eukaryota, Viridiplantae, Streptophyta, Magnoliopsida, Cucurbitales, Cucurbitaceae.
GGGUGCAUAGCGCAGUGGAUUAGCGCGUCUGACUUCGAAUCAGAAGGUUGUGGUGGGUUCGACUCCCACUGUGGUCG